Daktulosphaira vitifoliae (grape phylloxera) is the source of this 4769-nucleotide long non-coding RNA. RefSeq lists it as uncharacterized. NCBI's taxonomy places the organism in Eukaryota, Metazoa, Arthropoda, Insecta, Hemiptera, Phylloxeridae. The transcript is spliced from 2 exons. The record is from RefSeq and is a predicted model, not a curated record.
ACAUUGUUAUCGUGUGUAAUUUAAUAUAUGUGAUAAGCUUAUGUAGUAUGAAGCACUUUAUUCACAUAUUAAAGUCAGAUAUUAGUUGAUAUUUGACCGGUUCUAUUGUGCCUUAUGUCGUUACAAAUAAGUUAAAUCAUUUUCUAAAUCAAUUUUAGAUAAAAUUUUGUUUUCUUGUAUUCAUUGUUGAACUUGUGUAACCCAAAACUGAUUUAAGAAAUGUAUUGUUCAAUCAACUGGGUUAUACUGCAAAAAUUAAAUUAUAUAUUUCUACAUCAUUAGACGAAUUUUAUAAAAAAAAACUUAUGCAUCGUGAUUUUCAAGCAUAAAAUAAAAUACAUCAAAUUACAAAUAUGAACUCUUUCAAUUAUUUUUCAUUCACAAGGAAAAUAAGUAUAUUUUUAAUUUUGAAUAUUAUGUAUUGUUCGACUGAAUUUAUAGAUCCUGCAGUUAGAUUAAAAAAGAUCUUCAAUAAUGAAAUUUUUAUUUUUAAAAAUUCAAAUAAUGUAAUCUCACAUCCAUAUUCGGAAUUUAUUUUAACUGGAUAUGCUAACCAAACAGAUAUUUUUACUUAUAAACAAAAAGACAGUAACUAUUACCAUGAAAAUUAUCAUACUUUUGGCAAUAUUAUUGAAUAUAAAAAUAAGUAUAAGAUGCAUAUAAAUGAAAUAUAUCCUGACUUAUCAAGCGAAGAAUUUUUUAAAGCUCUCAAAAAUGGAAUCAAAGGAAAUUAUGAAAAUGAUUUUUAUGUUCCAGAAUUAAAAAAUUUCAGUUUUCAAUUUGAAACAAAAUUGUCUAUACCGGCUAAAUGUUAUAAUAAAGAUAUAAAUGUUUUUUAUCAUGGAAUACGAGGAUUUUAUUGUUAUACUAAGUAUGUUUCAGGAACUAGAUAUCAAUUGUUUUGUGAUUAUAUAAUAUACUGGAUCCCAGAAACUGAUGAUGGAAUUUUAUUAAAAUUAAAAAAAUAACUAACAUAUUUAUUUUUAAUAUCAUUUUGAAUUUGGAAGAUUUAUAACAGAUCUAUUUUACUGUCACAUUUUAAGUUGCAUGUAUCAUAAGCCAGUUUAACAUUUAUAUCGAUAGUAGUAUUUAGUUCAUAUUAUGUUAUACUUAAAUCAAAAUUUCUGGUAGAUUUUUAUUUUAUAGUGUUUUUUAUGUAUUCAUACCUGUAAUUUCUUUGUAAAUUAUUAUUUAGAUAUUAUUACAUACAUACAUUUGUUUGAUCAUUUUUCUUUUUUAAUUCAAGGUAUAUUUAAUAAAUAUUUUUAUGCAUAAGGAUACUAAUAAUAUAUAUGAUAAUUAAUUAUAAAUCGUGUAAUUUAAAGUUUACUAUUUAUUGUUAUUAAGUAAAUAAACAAAUAAAAUAUCACAGAGUAUAAACUAUUAUGUACAAUCGAAAAUAAGUAUAUUAACAUUAUCCAAUUAUUAAUCUAAUAAAUUAUUGAAAACUCAACUUAACAUAAAUACAAUUAAUCUUAUGUUUUAAAACAUAGUACGAAAAAUUUGUAGUAACUUGUAAUAAGGAUUAUAACAAUGAAGUGGUAGUAGUUUAACACAUUAUCUAGACAAUUUAUUGAAAACAUUUGGUUCUUUAUUUACAAAAAUUAAAUAAAUAAAUUUAAUUUAUUAAAAAAAUGUAAUUUAUUCUCAGAAUUGUAUCAAAAUGUUUAAUCUUUUAACAAAUUCAAUAAUUUAUUUCACUAUUAAUAUGUUGACAUUCUAAAGUACAUAUGUGCAGCGAAAUUCCAAAUUUUUUUUAGAAAAUUUCAGUAUUGUUAUUAUGAAAUAUUUGUUGUUUUAAGAUGAUGAUACUUUUAAAAAUAUUAGCUUAAUUUUGAAAAUCAAUUAACUUUUAAACUCGUUGAUUUUUAUUUUUGGCAAAUGAUAUUGUGUGUAGAAUUAUUUUAUUUAUACAUUUAAUUUAUUGACAGAUAAAUUUUAUUAAAUUAAAAUUUAUUUUUUAUUAUACUGCCCUGGUUAUUUUAUUAAAUCUGUAAUUUACUAGAAUAUAUAUUUAAAACAAAAAAAAAUAAAUCAUUUUUUUUAUUAAUAAAAUUAUUAGUGUAAUUAUAAUCAUUCAAUAAACUCGGAGAAAAAAUAUUAUGGUGUUUAGAAUAUAAGUAAUUUUACAAGGAAAAAUACAACCUAAUACAUAAUAAGUAGCAUUGAAUUAAUAUUUUUACUAGUCCAUUCUCAAAAUGAUGUCCCAUAAUAUUCAGAGAACCCUGUAUAAAACACAUUUAUGAGCAAAAUGUUCACGAAGAUGAAGGGUUAACAGAGUCAAUUCCUGAUGAUGCUGGUAAUGAUGAUGUUCUCUGCAUUGCUAUGUCUUGAGGCCUGGGAUCUUCACCAAAGGAUGCCAGAAGACUUGGCUAAAAUAUAAAUUAGAAAUUAUUUCAUACUAAGUUAUAAAUAAUACGUUUCAUUGAUGGACAUUUUCUGUACGAGUGAAUAAUUAUGUUCAAUUGGGUAUGAAGUUCAUCAAUUAAGAAUAACAUAUUUUUAUAGCAUAAAAAUGUACAAAAGAAAACAUUUGCUUCCAUUCACCUGUAGUGGUAAAAAAACAGAUUCAAUUGUUGCAGCUCGUGGUUGAAGUGGCGCAGGAGCUACUGUUCCACCACGACCAUUCAAUACGCUUCCUGAAUAUGUAUCUUGAAGACCUGAAAAUUUAAAAAUAACUUACAAUACAUUGACUUCGUUAAAAAGAGAUUCAAUUGAUAUAACUUUUUAUAUUUUUAACGAGACUUUAAUAAAGUUUUGUAAUAUUUUACAUUUGGUAAACAUAAUAUUAAAUAUUACGUUCUAUUAAUAUUAUGAAAUUCAAAUAACUUUAGUAUAAAUAAUUUUAUAGAGUAUUUAUAAUCUUUCAUAGGAAAAUUUUCGAUACAAUUAUUCAUUUUUAAUUAAAACUUUAAAGAUAUAAUAUAAAAAAUUAGACUAUAGAAUUUCUAUUUAUGUAAUUAAAUAUAUUUUUAAGAUCAAUAAAACUAUUUUCUGUUGAAAAAGAAAUCCAUUAAGUAUCAUGAGUUAAGAAAAGAUUAGUAAGUUUGUUUAUAAUACUGUAUAUAUAUAUAUAUUAAACCUAAUGAAAAACAUUAAAUUAUGAAGAAUAAUUUAUGAUUAUACACAAAAUAUUUUUUAGUUUUAAUAUUUUUUUACUUUAAUUUAUUUGCUUUUAUAAUUUAUAAAUUAUAUGUUAUGUCUCACUAAUAAUGACCCACUGAAAUUAUUUGUAAUUAAUUAUAACUUGCCUGAUAUUUUUGGAGAAUUAUAUGGUAAAAAGGACUGAGAAGAAAUGCCAGGUAUUUUAGGCGCUUGAAAUGCCAUACUCAAUACAUUCAUCCCGUUCAAAUUACCUACAAAUAAGAUAUAUUGCUUUAUAUUUUUCGUUUAUUAUAAGAAUAUUUUAACUUUGGUUUUUUAGCUUUGAGACAUAACUAGAGAGAUUUUAGUUUUACUCAUGUUUUUUUUUUUGUGUCAAAUUAUUAAAAAUUACAGGAUCAAUUUUGAUAUUAGAGACAUAAAAUAUCACAAAUGUAUGUACAAUUAGAUCUAAGGUACCAUAGUUUUGAAAAAUUCUUCUAAGUUCUCUUUUAUACCUAUGAAUUUGCAAGAAAAAUACUUUUGUAAUCACAAUUAAUGAAUGCAUUAUGUUGAAACAAAUAUAACAAUACUUUUUGAUCAAACAAAAUGUUAUUUUGAAUUUAACUUAAACCACGUACACUUAAAUUAUUAUAAAAUUUCCAUACUUAAUUAAAUAAAAUUAAUGAAAUGCAUUUGCAUUUUUUAAAUUUUAAACAGUUAAAGGACGUUUUGAGUUUUAAAUUAAACCUUAUAAACGCAAGUAUGGGGAUAAUGGACAAUUCAAUCCUUUUCCGAGAAUAAAACAUUUUAUAGAGGUUUAAUAUAAAAAUAUAAUAUACCUUUAGAGGAAAUAAAAUAUCCAUAUUAAGACAUAAGGGAUGACAUUUUUAGCAAAUAAAACGUAUAAUAUAAUUUAUAAUAUUUUCAAAUGUUUUAUGAUAAAAAUCACAGACAUAUUUUAAAGGCUUUUAAUGUUGGAAUUAUUUGAUAGUAGUUUUCAUCGAAAUAUUAAAAUUUAGUGUAAGGUUUUAAGAGAGAUACAAGUAAUGCCGUCAUUUGGUCAAUAGCAUCUACCUUUAUAUCUCAAUAAAGCCUAGAAUUAUUUACAUAAAUAAUAAAAAGCGUUUAUUCAAUAUUCUAAUUAUCUAGAAUGUUCAUGAAAACAGCAAUAAACAACUGUUACUGAUUAGGUUGUUUCUAUUGCAUAUACAACGUGAAAGAUAGGAAAAUUAAUAUAUUUUAACCAUUAAUAUCAAAUUAAAAAUAGUAAGAAAGAGAUUCCCAAGAUAUAAAAAAUUAACGUACGCGUAAUGAUAAAUUAAAAGUUUUAAUAAACAUUUCUUCAGUUAACAUAUAAAUACUGACAUAGAAAUGAUUUAAUAAUAGAUUAAUUUUCACGUAAUGAUUAUAUGUUCUAAUAUUACUUAACUUAUUAAUUAUUUAAGACCUAAUUUUAUAUAUUUACUUAAUAAUGACAUCACAUAUAUUAUCUAAAGGUUUCAGAAGAGUAGACUAGACAAUUGCCCCGAGACGCGCAAUUACAAAUAUUUAACAAUACAUUAAUAACAAUAUUUAUACACCAAUUAUAUUUUUAGUGAUGGAUGAAGUACCAUGGUGAUAUUUAAAGGUAAAGAUCACGUACAGGAGUGUGGAAAUUAUAGAGGCAUAAAGCUUAUGAGUCAUAG